Long non-coding RNA from Camelina sativa (false flax), 496 nucleotides. RefSeq lists it as uncharacterized. The record is from RefSeq and is a predicted model, not a curated record. Lineage: Eukaryota; Viridiplantae; Streptophyta; Magnoliopsida; Brassicales; Brassicaceae.
CAACACAAACCCACAAAAGAGCAUUUCUCGGCUCUACUUGCAAAGGUCAUGGAAAAAUGGCGAGUUGACGUAUGUCUCAAGGCAGUUAAUAGUGAUGAGGGUUCAGUUAUCUCUGCCCACAAAGUUAUUCUGGAGUUCAAGACUUUGGGUAAGUUGGUUAAAACAAUCACUCUCUCGGAGAUGAAACAAGAAGAGCUAGAAGCUUUUGUUGAGUUUAUAUACAGUGAUGGUUCUAUGCUUUCCGGCAAAAUGAAGCAACACGCUCGGGCUCUCUAUCUUACGGCUGUCAAAUACAAGAUUAUCCAACUACGAGAUCUAUGCAGAUCCGAGCUUAUAUCUUCUCUGGAUAUGGCAAAUUAUUUUUAUUAGAGCCCACAAGAAAGACAAACCUAAGCCCAAUGUGAUAACAUGUAACUAGGGUUCUUAGCAAGAUGAAAGUUAUAUAUAUAGUGAUGUAAUGAGAACUUAUAGAGUAACUUUGAGAGUUGUUUUUCUU